AACGUAGGAGACAAACGUUAUCCGGAUUUACUGGGCGUAAAGGGCGUGUAGGUGGUUGUGUAAGGCUGGCGUGAAAUUUUUCGGCUUAACCGGGAAAGGUCGUCGGAUACUGCACAACUAGAGGACGGUAGAGGCGUGUGGAAUUCCGGGUGUAGUGGUGAAAUGCGUAGAGAUCCGGAGGAACACCAGUGGCGAAGGCGACACGCUGGGCCGUACCUGACACUGAUGCGCGACAGCAUGGGGAGCAAACCGG
Molecule: ribosomal RNA, 253 nt
Filed under: uncultured bacterium
Lineage: Bacteria
Description: partial 16S ribosomal RNA
Rfam family: Bacterial small subunit ribosomal RNA
Source: RNAcentral